GUCCUUGUAGCGCAAUGGAUAGCGUGUUGGCCUUCCAAUCCAAAGGUUGUGAGUUCGAAUCCCACCUAGGAUG
This 73-nucleotide transfer RNA is filed under the name Trichonephila inaurata madagascariensis. It matches the Rfam family "tRNA". Rfam says of the family: Transfer RNA (tRNA) molecules are approximately 80 nucleotides in length. Their secondary structure includes four short double-helical elements and three loops (D, anti-codon, and T loops). The record is from Rfam by way of RNAcentral. Lineage: Eukaryota; Metazoa; Arthropoda; Arachnida; Araneae; Nephilidae.